UACGAAGGGGACUAGCGUUGUUCGGAAUCACUGGGCGUAAAGCGCACGUAGGCGGAUUGCUAAGUCAGGGGUGAAAUCCUGGAGCUCAACUCCAGAACUGCCUUUGAUACUGGCGAUCUCGAGUCCGGGAGAGGUGAGUGGAACUGCGAGUGUAGAGGUGAAAUUCGUAGAUAUUCGCAAGAACACCAGUGGCGAAGGCGGCUCACUGGCCCGGUACUGACGCUGAGGUGCGAAAGCGUGGGGAGCAAACAGG
Molecule: ribosomal RNA, 253 nt
Filed under: uncultured bacterium
Lineage: Bacteria
Description: partial 16S ribosomal RNA
Rfam family: Bacterial small subunit ribosomal RNA
Source: RNAcentral